RNAcentral lists this long non-coding RNA (1827 nucleotides) under Sus scrofa (pig). Its description in RNAcentral is "lncRNA (ENSSSCG00030044666.1)". Lineage: Eukaryota; Metazoa; Chordata; Mammalia; Artiodactyla; Suidae. The record is from RNAcentral.
ACUCUCCGGCAGUUAUCCCGUUCUACACGCCGGUGUCCCCUAGGUGGGCACCGAGGUAACGGAGCGGAAAAGCAGGAGGAGAGGCGUGGUGCCCGCUGUCUAGAAGCGGAUGCGAGGCCCCCUGAGCCCGCAGUUGACGGCGGUGCCUUCGUUCCCGCCCUGCUCGCCGCCUCUCCCGGCGCCGCUCUUCCCACGGCCGGUGGCCGAGGCCGCGCCGAUGAACCCGGCUCAGGAGGCAAGUCUCUAACUGAAGACAAGGGUUUGAUAGACUACGGACAUUGGUUUGUACAUUCAGAUCAGUUCCAGCUGACCCCUAAGAUAUGUCAGUAAUUGGUUUAAUCUAGAGAGACAUUCUGUAUUGCUUCUUGCUUUAACUAGUGCAGAACAGACUGAGGGCGAGGAAGACAAGAAGGAGCCCAUCCCAGAAGCAAUUGCAUGCAUCCAGGACUUGCAUCUUCUAGGUCCCAUGUUGUCCAGCUAGAGCUGAGAGGGAGUGGACAUGGCUCCAGGCACAAGCACGAGAGCCUCAGAGUGGGCCUGGCCCUGGUGAUUCACAUCUGGGGGAGGAUGUGAUGUCACAGCUGGGUUCACAUCAUACCAGGAACAUGUCCUGUGCCCAGCACUGUUUGGGUGUGUUGCACCCCAACCUUGAGUCUUUUGCCUGGCUGCUGACAUGGAGCUGAGGACCAAUAGACACCUUCUGGGCAGAAUAUUUCUGUAGAAGUGCCCCAGAUACAUCCUUCAACGGCAGACUUGUCCACCCAGACGACCUGUCCCUGGGAGAGGUGUAGGCUGGAAGAGCUGCACAGUCCCUGCUUCCACAUUGUCGUCACAUUGCGGGAAGCUGGGGAGGAUUUCCCUGGUAGCUCUGGCUUCCCCCUCCCAGCAGCCCUGGGAUCUAUUUGCUUUCCUUUAACAAAGACUUCGCCUGCUUGCUGCCUGUGUGUUCCUGGAGUUCAUUUCUUUGACUGCCCUGAUCAGGAACCCGGAUUCCCAUAUCAUCUUUCUGGUGGUAUCUUUUGGGGACUAGUCUGGGAUCCAAUCCAAUACAUCUGCACUCAUAAGAACGUCUGAGUCCCUGCCAGAUCUCCAGCAACAGAUUCAUGGGAUGUCUGAUCCAGCUCGCCCUCUGGAACUAGUUGACCUCUUCCUCCUGGUGGAAAUAUUUCAUCACCAUAGCCAUCAUCAUGAUCUUUAAUCCUUUUAUUUGGACCCUAUAUAAUUAAUUGUAUUUCUCACUUCAUUACAUCCCAGUUAAAAACUAUGGACCUGGAGUUCCCGUCGUGGCUCAGGGGUUAACGAAUCCGACUAGGAACCAUGAGGUUGCAGGUUCAACCCCUGGCCUUGCCCAGUGGGUUAAGGAUCUGCCAUUGCUGUGAGCUGUGGUGUAGGCCACAGACAUGGCUCAGAUCCCACGUUGCUGUGGCUCUGGUAUAGGCUGGUGGCUAUAGCUCUGAUUUGACGCCCUAGCCUGGGAACCUCCAUAUGCCGUGGGAGCAGCCCUAGAAAAGGAAAAAAGACCCCCCCCCCAAAAAAAAAAAAAAAAAACUUAAUUGAGCUAUAUAGUCAGUUUGCCUUGAACUAACAUACCUAAAAUGUAUGGCUUGGUAAAUUUUAAUCUGCCUAAGCCCAUGGAAUGAUCAUCAUAACAUUCAUCACUCCUCUAUCUUUUGACAUUUCUCCCUAGGCCCCCAGGCUCUGCCACUUUUUCACCUUCAGUUAGUGUUUUCUAGACUUCUUUUUCCUGAAAAUAAUACUCUGUGAACAUGUACAGAAAAUUCUUUAUAUGAACAUAUGACUUUAAAAUGAAAGCUCUUUUUACAUCCC